GACGAACGCUGGCGGCGUGCUUAACACAUGCAAGUCGAACGGAAAGACCCGGCUUUUGUUUCGUUGUCGAUUGGCGCACGCGGGAGUAACACGUGAGUAACCUGCCCUUGUCUUUGUGAUAACUUCAGGGAACUCGGGCUAAUACCGGGUAUGAUCUCCUGCUGCGCGUUGGUGGUUGGAAAAUUUCGGCGGUUGGGGAUGGACUCGCGGCUUAUCAGCUUGAUUGGCUAGUAGGUGCGGACCAAGGCUUUGACGGGUAGCCUGCCUGGGAGGGUGACCGGGCACCUUGGGACUGAGGUACGGCCCAGAAUGCUACCGGAGGCAGCAGUGGGGAAUAUUGCAAAAUGGGGCGAAGUGUGAUGCAGAAACGCCGGGUGCGGGAUGCCGGCCUUCGGGUUGUAAACAGAUUUCGAAUGUGCCGAAGAGUGAGUGACGGUAAUGGGUCAAGAAGCAACGGCUAACUACGUG
RNAcentral lists this ribosomal RNA (468 nucleotides) under uncultured bacterium. RNAcentral describes it as "partial 16S ribosomal RNA". It matches the Rfam family "Bacterial small subunit ribosomal RNA", at positions 28 to 507 of the family's 1533-position model. The record is from RNAcentral.